UACGGGGGGGGCAAGCGUUGUUCGGAAUUACUGGGCGUAAAGGGCCAGUAGGUGGCCAACUAAGUCCGACGUGAAAUCCCAAGGCUUAACCUUGGAACUGCGUCGGAUACUGGAUGGCUUGAAUUCGGGAGAGGGAUGCAGAAUUCCAGGUGUAGCGGUGAAAUGCGUAGAUAUCUGGAGGAAUACUGGUGGCGAAGGCGGCAUCCUGGACCGACAUUGACGCUGAACGGCGAAAGCUAGGGGAGCAAACGGG
RNAcentral lists this ribosomal RNA (253 nucleotides) under uncultured bacterium. RNAcentral describes it as "partial 16S ribosomal RNA". It matches the Rfam family "Bacterial small subunit ribosomal RNA", at positions 524 to 776 of the family's 1533-position model. The record is from RNAcentral.